This 495-nucleotide ribosomal RNA is filed under the name uncultured bacterium. RNAcentral describes it as "bacterial SSU rRNA". It matches the Rfam family "Bacterial small subunit ribosomal RNA", at positions 903 to 1397 of the family's 1533-position model. The record is from RNAcentral.
AAAGGAAUUGACGGGGACCCGCACAAGCAGCGGAGCAUGUGGUUUAAUUCGACGCAACGCGAAGAACCUUACCAAGGCUUGACAUCCCCUUGACAGGUGCAGAGAUGUACCCUCUCCUUCGGGAGCAAGGGUGACAGGUGGUGCAUGGUUGUCGUCAGCUCGUGUCGUGAGAUGUUGGGUUAAGUCCCGCAACGAGCGCAACCCUUGUCAUUAGUUGCCAGCAUUAAGGUGGGCACUCUAAUGAGACUGCCGGUGAUAAACCGGAGGAAGGUGGGGAUGACGUCAAAUCAUCAUGCCCCUUAUGUCUUGGGCUACACACGUGCUACAAUGGUCGGAACAAAGGGAAGCGAAGGAGCGAUCCGGAGCAAAACCUCAUAAACCGAUCCCAGUUCGGAUUGCAGGCUGCAACUCGCCUGCAUGAAGUCGGAGUUGCUAGUAAUCGCGAAUCAGAACGUCGCGGUGAAUGCGUUCCCGGGUCUUGUACACACCGCCCGU